UACCUGGCAGCUCAAGUGGUGGACCGCUAUUAUUGGGCCUAAAACGUUCGUAGCCGGUUUGGUAAAUGCCUGGGUAAAUCGUGUAGCUUAACUAUACGAAUUCCGGGUAGACUGCCAAACUUGAGACCGGGAGAAGCUAGAGGUACUCCCGGGGUAGAGGUGAAAUUCUGUAAUCCUAGGGGGACCACCAGUGGCGAAGGCGUCUAGCUAGAACGGGUUUGACGGCGAGGAACGAAGCCCUGGGGACGCAAACCGGAUUAGGAUACCCGGGGUAGUCCAGGGUGUAAACGCUGCUUGCUUGAUGUUAGUUGGGCUCCGAGCCCAAUUAGUGUCGGAGAGAAGUUGUUAAGCAAGCUGCCUGGGAAGUACGAUCGCAAGAUUGAAACUUAAAGGAAUUGGCGGGGAGCACAGCAACGGGUGGAGCGUGCGGUUU
This 433-nucleotide ribosomal RNA is filed under the name uncultured archaeon. Its description in RNAcentral is "bacterial SSU rRNA". It matches the Rfam family "Archaeal small subunit ribosomal RNA", at positions 474 to 903 of the family's 1478-position model. The record is from RNAcentral.